CAGUGCCGUGAGGCUGAGCGAAUCCCAAAAAUAACGUCUCAGUUCGGAUUGUAGUCUGCAACCCGACUACAUGAAGCUGGAAUCGCUAGUAAUCGCGGAUCAGAAUGCCGCGGUGAAUACGUUCCCGGGUCUUGUACACACCGCCCGUCACACCAUGGGAGUUGGAAAUGCCCGAAGUCAGUGACCCAACCGGAAGGAGGGAGCUGCCGAAGGCAGGUUCGAUAACUGGGGUGAAGUCGUAACAAGGUAUC
This 251-nucleotide ribosomal RNA is filed under the name uncultured bacterium. RNAcentral's name for it is "partial 16S ribosomal RNA". It matches the Rfam family "Bacterial small subunit ribosomal RNA", at positions 1250 to 1500 of the family's 1533-position model. The record is from RNAcentral.